Molecule: transfer RNA, 73 nt
Filed under: Oryctolagus cuniculus (rabbit)
Lineage: Eukaryota; Metazoa; Chordata; Mammalia; Lagomorpha; Leporidae
Rfam family: tRNA
About the family: Transfer RNA (tRNA) molecules are approximately 80 nucleotides in length. Their secondary structure includes four short double-helical elements and three loops (D, anti-codon, and T loops).
Source: Rfam by way of RNAcentral
GUCGAAUUAGCUCAGGUGGUAGAGCACUCGCUUAGCAUGUGAGAGGUGGUGGGUUCGAUGCCCACAUUCUCCA